This 684-nucleotide ribosomal RNA is filed under the name uncultured bacterium. RNAcentral describes it as "bacterial SSU rRNA". It matches the Rfam family "Bacterial small subunit ribosomal RNA", at positions 56 to 757 of the family's 1533-position model. The record is from RNAcentral.
UGCAGUCGACGGAGAUAAAGAUUUCGGUUUUUAUCUUAGUGGCGCACGGGUGAGUAACACGUGAAUAACCUGACCCAAAGAGGGGGAUAACACCUGGAAGCAGGUGCUAAUACCGCAUAAGACCACAAUGUCGCAUGACGAAGGGGUCAAAGAAAAUCGCUUUGGGAGGGGUUCGCGUCCCAUUAGGUAGUAGGCGGGGUAAUAGCCCACCUAGCCGACGAUGGGUAGCCGAGCUGAGAGGCUGAUCGGCCACACUGGAACUGAGACACGGUCCAGACUCCUACGGGAGGCAGCAGUGGGGAAUAUUGGGCAAUGGGCGCAAGCCUGACCCAGCAACGCCGCGUGAGGGAAGAAGGUUUUCGGAUUGUAAACCUCUGUCGCAGAAGACGAAGGAAGUGACGGUAUUCUGUGAGGAAGCCCCGGCUAACUACGUGCCAGCAGCCGCGGUAAUACGUAGGGGGCGAGCGUUGUCCGGAAUUACUGGGCGUAAAGGGAGCGUAGGCGGUCUGAUAAGUUGGAUGUGAAAUACCCGGGCUUAACUUGGGGGGUGCAUCCAAUACUGUUGGACUAGAGUACAGGAGAGGAAAGCGGAAUUCCUAGUGUAGCGGUGAAAUGCAUAGAUAUUAGGAGGAACAUCGGUGGCGAAGGCGGCUUUCUGGACUGCAACUGACGCUGAGGCUCGAA